UUUUUAGCGAUAACUAUAAAAAUAAUUCCUCAUUUUAACUUGUUCAAUUUAGGCAUAACAGACGUCAUAUUACACCUAUAAAAUCUGAGCUAC
Molecule: small nucleolar RNA, 93 nt
Filed under: Theobroma cacao (cacao)
Lineage: Eukaryota; Viridiplantae; Streptophyta; Magnoliopsida; Malvales; Malvaceae
Description: Small nucleolar RNA snoR8a
Rfam family: Small nucleolar RNA snoR8a
Source: Rfam by way of RNAcentral